UACGUAGGGGCCGAGCGUUGUCCGGAGUUAUUGGGCGUAAAGCGCGCGCAGGCGGCGGUGUCAGCCCGACGUGAAAGCCCCCGGCUUAACCGGGGAGGGUCGUGGGGGACGGCACCGCUUGAGGGCGGGAGAGGGCGGUGGAAUUCCCGGUGUAGUGGUGAAAUGCGUAGAGAUCGGGAGGAACACCUGUGGCGAAGGCGGCCGCCUGGGCCGACCCUGACGCUGAGGCGCGAAGGCGUGGGGAGCGAACGGG
This 253-nucleotide ribosomal RNA is filed under the name uncultured bacterium. Its description in RNAcentral is "partial 16S ribosomal RNA". It matches the Rfam family "Bacterial small subunit ribosomal RNA", at positions 524 to 776 of the family's 1533-position model. The record is from RNAcentral.